CGCCUAACACAUGCAAGUCGAGCGAGAAAGGGAGCAAUCCCCGGUACAGCGGCGCACGGGUGAGUAACACGUAGGUAAUCUGCCCUUGAGUUGGGGAUAACCUUCCGAAAGGAGGGCUAAUACCGAAUGAGACCACGGAGUCGAGAGGCUCUGAGGUCAAAGCCGGCCACUUCACGAAAGCUGGUGCUUAAGGAUGAGCCUGCGGCCCAUCAGCUAGUUGGUAGGGUAAUGGCCUACCAAGGCUAAGACGGGUAGCUGGUCUGAGAGGAUGAUCAGCCACACUGGAACUGAGACACGGUCCAGACUCCUACGGGAGGCAGCAGUGGGGAAUCUUGCGCAAUGGGCGAAAGCCUGACGCAGCGACGCCGCGUGAGUGAUGAAGGCCUUCGGGUUGUAAAGCUCUGAGGAGGGGGACGAAUAAGUGUUGGCUAACAUCCAGCAUGAUGACGGUACCCCUUUAGCAAGCACCGGCUAACUCUGUGCCAGCAGCCGCGGUAA
This 498-nucleotide ribosomal RNA is filed under the name uncultured delta proteobacterium. RNAcentral's name for it is "bacterial SSU rRNA". It matches the Rfam family "Bacterial small subunit ribosomal RNA", at positions 45 to 523 of the family's 1533-position model. The record is from RNAcentral. Lineage: Bacteria; Deltaproteobacteria.